GGUUAAGCGACUAAGCGUACACGGUGGAUGCCCCCGGCAGUCAGAGGCGAUGAAGGACGUGCUAAUCUGCGAAAAGCGUCGGUAAGGUGAUAUGAACCGUUAUAACCGGCGAUGUCCGAAUGGGGAAACCCAGUGCAAUUCGUUGCACUAUCGUUAACUGAAUACAUAGGUUAACGAGGCGAACCGGGGGAACUGAAACAUCUAAGUACCCCGAGGAAAAGAAAUCAACCGAGAUUCCCCCAGUAGCGGCGAGCGAACGGGGAGCAGCCCAGAGUCUGAAUCAGCUUGUGUGUUAGUGGAACGGUCUGGAAAGUCCGACGGUACAGGGUGAUAGUCCCGUACACCAAAAUGCACAGGCUGUGAACUCGAAGAGUAGGGCGGGACACGUGGUAUCCUGUCUGAAUAUGGGGGGACCAUCCUCCAAGGCUAAAUACUCCUGACUGACCGAUAGUGAACCAGUACCGUGAGGGAAAGGCGAAAAGAACCCCGGCGAGGGGAGUGAAAAAGAACCUGAAACCGUGUACGUACAAGCAGUGGGAGCACCUUCGGGUGUGACUGCGUACCUUUGUAUAAUGGGUCAGCGACUUAUAUUCUGUAGCAAGGUUAACCGUAUAGGGGAGCCGCAGGGAAACCGAGUCUUAACUGGGCGUUAAGUUGCAGGGUAUAGACCCGAAACCCGGUGAUCUAGCCAUGGGCAGGUUGAAGGUUGGGUAACACUAACUGGAGGACCGAACCGACUAAUGUUGAAAAAUUAGCGGAUGACUUGUGGCUGGGGGUGAAAGGCCAAUCAAACCGGGAGAUAGCUGGUUCUCCCCGAAAGCUAUUUAGGUAGCGCCUCGUGAACUCAUCUUCGGGGGUAGAGCACUGUUUCGGCUAGGGGGUCAUCCCGACUUACCAACCCGAUGCAAACUACGAAUACCGAAGAAUGUUAUCACGGGAGACACACGGCGGGUGCUAACGUCCGUCGUGAAGAGGGAAACAACCCAGACCGCCAGCUAAGGUCCCAAAGUCAUGGUUAAGUGGGAAACGAUGUGGGAAGGCACAGACAGCCGGGAUGUUGGCUUAGAAGCAGCCAUCAUUUAAAGAAAGCGUAAUAGCUCACUGGUCGAGUCGGCCUGCGCGGAAGAUGUAACGGGGCUAAACCAUGCACCGAAGCUGCGGCAGCGACACUAUGUGUUGUUGGGUAGGGGAGCGUUCUGUAAGCCUGCGAAGGUGUGCUGUGAGGCAUGCUGGAGGUAUCAGAAGUGCGAAUGCUGACAUAAGUAACGAUAAAGCGGGUGAAAAGCCCGCUCGCCGGAAGACCAAGGGUUCCUGUCCAACGUUAAUCGGGGCAGGGUGAGUCGACCCCUAAGGCGAGGCCGAAAGGCGUAGUCGAUGGGAAACAGGUUAAUAUUCCUGUACUUGGUGUUACUGCGAAGGGGGGGACGGAGAAGGCUAUGUUAGCCGGGCGACGGUUGUCCCGGUUUAAGCAUGUAGGCUGAUUGUCCGAGGCAAAUCCGGAUAAUCAAGGCUGAGGUGUGAUGACGAGGCACUACGGUGCUGAAGUAACAAAUGCCCUGCUUCCGAGGAAAAGCCUCUAAGCAUCAGGUAACAUUAAAUCGUACCCCAAACCGACACAGGUGGUCAGGUAGAGAAUACCAAGGCGCUUGAGAGAACUCGGGUGAAGGAACUAGGCAAAAUGGUGCCGUAACUUCGGGAGAAGGCACGCUGGUGUGUAGGUGAAGUCCCUGCGGAUGGAGCUGAGACCAGUCGAAGAUACCAGCUGGCUGCAACUGUUUAUUAAAAACACAGCACUGUGCAAACACGAAAGUGGACGUAUACGGUGUGACGCCUGCCCGGUGCCGGAAGGUUAAUUGAUGGGGUUAUCCGUAAGGAGAAGCUCUUGAUCGAAGCCCCGGUAAACGGCGGCCGUAACUAUAACGGUCCUAAGGUAGCGAAAUUCCUUGUCGGGUAAGUUCCGACCUGCACGAAUGGCGUAAUGAUGGCCGGGCUGUCUCCACCCGAGACUCAGUGAAAUUGAACUCGCUGUGAAGAUGCAGUGUACCCGCGGCAAGACGGAAAGACCCCGUGAACCUUUACUAUAGCUUGACACUGAACAUUGAGCCUUGAUGUGUAGGAUAGGUGGGAGGCUUUGAAGCGUGGACGCCAGUCUGCGUGGAGCCAACCUUGAAAUACCACCCUUUAAUGUUUGAUGUUCUAACGUUGGCCCCUGACCGGGGUUGCGGACAGUGUCUGGUGGGUAGUUUGACUGGGGCGGUCUCCUCCCAAAGCGUAACGGAGGAGCACGAAGGUUAGCUAAUCCCCGGUCGGACAUCAGGAGGUUAGUGCAAUGGCAUAAGCUAGCUUGACUGCGAGCGUGACGGCGCGAGCAGGUGCGAAAAGCAGGUCAUAGUGAUCCGGUGGUUCUGAAUGGAAGGGCCAUCGCUCAACGGAUAAAAGGUACUCCGGGGAUAACAGGCUGAUACCGCCCAAGAGUUCAUAUCGACGGCGGUGUUUGGCACCUCGAUGUCGGCUCAUCACAUCCUCGGGGCUGAAGUAGGUCCCAAGGGUAUGGCUGUUCGCCAUUUAAAGUGGUACGCGAGCUGGGUUUAGAACGUCGUGAGACAGUUCGGUCCCUAUCUGCCGUGGGCGCUGGAGAAUUGAGGGGGGCUGCUCCUAGUACGAGAGGACCGGAGUGGACGCAUCACUGGUGUUCGGGUUGUCAUGCCAAUGGCACUGCCCGGUAGCUAAAUGCGGAAGAGAUAAGUGCUGAAAGCAUCUAAGCACGAAACUUGCCCCGAGAUGAGUUCUCCCUGAGACUUUAAGUCUCCUGAAGGAACGUUAAAGACGAUGACGUUGAUAGGCCGGGUGUGUAAGCGCAGCGAUGCGUUGAGCUAACCGGUACUAAUGAACCGUGAGGCUUAACCUU
RNAcentral lists this ribosomal RNA (2908 nucleotides) under Klebsiella pneumoniae. RNAcentral's name for it is "23S ribosomal RNA". It matches the Rfam family "Bacterial large subunit ribosomal RNA". Lineage: Bacteria; Pseudomonadati; Pseudomonadota; Gammaproteobacteria; Enterobacterales; Enterobacteriaceae. The record is from RNAcentral.